GGCCCGGUGGCGGAGCGAUUACGCAAAGGACCCUGCAAGGUCCUUCACCCUGGUUCAAAUCCAGGCUGGGCCUCCA
This 76-nucleotide transfer RNA is filed under the name Pseudolabrys sp. Root1462. RNAcentral's name for it is "tRNA-OTHER". The record is from RNAcentral. Lineage: Bacteria; Pseudomonadati; Pseudomonadota; Alphaproteobacteria; Hyphomicrobiales; Xanthobacteraceae.